RNAcentral lists this ribosomal RNA (1377 nucleotides) under Salmonella enterica. Its description in RNAcentral is "partial 23S ribosomal RNA". It matches the Rfam family "Bacterial large subunit ribosomal RNA", at positions 1575 to 2925 of the family's 2925-position model. Lineage: Bacteria; Pseudomonadati; Pseudomonadota; Gammaproteobacteria; Enterobacterales; Enterobacteriaceae. The record is from RNAcentral.
CACUACGGUGCUGAAGCAACAAAUGCCCUGCUUCCAGGAAAAGCCUCUAAGCAUCAGGUAACAUCAAAUCGUACCCCAAACCGACACAGGUGGUCAGGUAGAGAAUACCAAGGCGCUUGAGAGAACUCGGGUGAAGGAACUAGGCAAAAUGGUGCCGUAACUUCGGGAGAAGGCACGCUGACACGUAGGUGAAGUGAUUUACUCACGGAGCUGAAGUCAGUCGAAGAUACCAGCUGGCUGCAACUGUUUAUUAAAAACACAGCACUGUGCAAACACGAAAGUGGACGUAUACGGUGUGACGCCUGCCCGGUGCCGGAAGGUUAAUUGAUGGGGUCAGCGCAAGCGAAGCUCCUGAUCGAAGCCCCGGUAAACGGCGGCCGUAACUAUAACGGUCCUAAGGUAGCGAAAUUCCUUGUCGGGUAAGUUCCGACCUGCACGAAUGGCGUAAUGAUGGCCAGGCUGUCUCCACCCGAGACUCAGUGAAAUUGAACUCGCUGUGAAGAUGCAGUGUACCCGCGGCAAGACGGAAAGACCCCGUGAACCUUUACUAUAGCUUGACACUGAACAUUGAGCCUUGAUGUGUAGGAUAGGUGGGAGGCUUUGAAGUGUGGACGCCAGUCUGCAUGGAGCCGACCUUGAAAUACCACCCUUUAAUGUUUGAUGUUCUAACGUGGACCCGUAAUCCGGGUUGCGGACAGUGUCUGGUGGGUAGUUUGACUGGGGCGGUCUCCUCCUAAAGAGUAACGGAGGAGCACGAAGGUUGGCUAAUCCUGGUCGGACAUCAGGAGGUUAGUGCAAUGGCAUAAGCCAGCUUGACUGCGAGCGUGACGGCGCGAGCAGGUGCGAAAGCAGGUCAUAGUGAUCCGGUGGUUCUGAAUGGAAGGGCCAUCGCUCAACGGAUAAAAGGUACUCCGGGGAUAACAGGCUGAUACCGCCCAAGAGUUCAUAUCGACGGCGGUGUUUGGCACCUCGAUGUCGGCUCAUCACAUCCUGGGGCUGAAGUAGGUCCCAAGGGUAUGGCUGUUCGCCAUUUAAAGUGGUACGCGAGCUGGGUUUAGAACGUCGUGAGACAGUUCGGUCCCUAUCUGCCGUGGGCGCUGGAGAACUGAGGGGGGCUGCUCCUAGUACGAGAGGACCGGAGUGGACGCAUCACUGGUGUUCGGGUUGUCAUGCCAAUGGCACUGCCCGGUAGCUAAAUGCGGAAGAGAUAAGUGCUGAAAGCAUCUAAGCACGAAACUUGCCCCGAGAUGAGUUCUCCCUGAGACUUAGAGUCUCCUGAAGGAACGUUGAAGACGACGACGUUGAUAGGCCGGGUGUGUAAGCGCAGCGAUGCGUUGAGCUAACCGGUACUAAUGAACCGUGAGGCUUAACCUUACA